UACAGAGGUCUCGAGCGUUGUUCGGAUUCAUUGGGCGUAAAGGGUGCGUAGGUGGCGCCGUAAGUCGGGUGUGAAAUUUCGGAGCUUAACUCCGAAACUGCAUUCGAUACUGCGGUGCUUGAGGACUGGAGAGGAGACUGGAAUUCAUGGUGUAGCAGUGAAAUGCGUAAAGAUCAUGAGGAAGACCAGUGGCGAAGGCGGGUCUCUGGACAGUUCCUGACACUGAGGCACGAAGGCCAGGGGAGCAAACGGG
Molecule: ribosomal RNA, 253 nt
Filed under: uncultured bacterium
Lineage: Bacteria
Description: partial 16S ribosomal RNA
Rfam family: Bacterial small subunit ribosomal RNA
Source: RNAcentral